RNAcentral lists this ribosomal RNA (1595 nucleotides) under Acinetobacter johnsonii. RNAcentral describes it as "bacterial SSU rRNA". It matches the Rfam family "Bacterial small subunit ribosomal RNA". Lineage: Bacteria; Pseudomonadati; Pseudomonadota; Gammaproteobacteria; Moraxellales; Moraxellaceae. The record is from RNAcentral.
GUAGAGAUGCUUUCAUUCGUGCUUUCUUAUGGUGAAAACACUCACUCCAGGCCGUACACCGCUAGCAGUUAGGUAGUCUUGAGUCUAGAUCAGACUGGAGCGCUGGCGGCUAGGCAUUAGCACAUGCAAGUCGUAGCGGGGAAGGAGUCGUUCUGUUACGUUAGCCGAGCGGCGGACGGGUGAGUAAUGCUUAGGAAUCUGCUAUUAGUGGGGGACAACAUUCCGAAAGGAAUGCUAAUACCGCAUACGCCCUACAGGAGGAAAGCAGGGGAUCUUCGGACCUGCGCUCAUAGAUGAGCCUAAGUCAGAUUAGCUAGUUGGUGGGGUAAAGGCCUACCAAGGCGACGAUCUGUAGCGGGUCUGAGAGGAUGAUCCGCCACACUGGGACUGAGACACGGCCCAGACUCCUACGGGAGGCAGCAGUGGGGAAUAUUGGACAAUGGGCGCAAGCCUGAUCCAGCCAUGCCGCGUGUGUGAAGAAGGCCUUUUGGUUGUAAAGCACUUUUAGCGAGGAGGAGGCUACGUGGAUUAAUACUCUAGGAUAGUGGACGUUACUCGCAGAAUAAGCACCGGCUAACUCUGUGCCAGCAGCCGCGGUAAUACAGAGGGUGCGAGCGUUAAUCGGAUUUACUGGGCGUAAAGCGCGCGUAGGCGGCUUGUUAAGUCGGAUGUGAAAUCCCUGAGCUUAACUUAGGAAUUGCAUUCGAUACUGGGAAGCUAGAGUAUGGGAGAGGGGGGUAGAAUUCCAGGUGUAGCGGUGAAAUGCGUAGAGAUCUGGAGGAAUACCGAUGGCGAAGGCAGCCCCCUGGCCGAAUACUGACGCUGAGGUACGAAAGCAUGGGGAGCAAACAGGAUUAGAUACCCUGGUAGUCCAUGCCGUAAACGAUGUCUACUAGGAGGUGGGGCCCUUGAGGCUUUAGUGCCUAACGCGUUAAGUCGACCGCCUGGGGAGUACGGUCGCAAGGCUUAAAACUCAAAUGAAUUGACGGGGGCCCGCACAAGCGGUGGAGCAUGUGGUUUAAUUCGAUGCAACGCGAAGAACCUUACCUGGUCUUGACAUACUAAGAACUUUCCAGAGAUGGAUUGGUGCCUUCGGGAACUUACAUACAGGUGCUGCAUGGCUGUCGUCAGCUCGUGUCGUGAAAUGUUGGGUUAAGUCCCGCAACGAGCGCAACCCUUUUCCUUAUUUGCCAGCGGGUUAGGCCGGGAACUUUAAGGAAACGGCCAUUGACAAACUGGAGGAAGGGGGGGACAACUUCAAGUCAUCAGGGCCCUUACAACCAGGGCUACACACUUGCUACAAUGGUCGGUACAAAGGGUUGCUACCUACCGAUAGGAUGCUAAUCUCAAAAAUCCGAUCGUAUUCCGGAUUGAAGUCUGCAACUCAACUCCAUGAAGUCGGAAUCGCUAGUAAUCGCGGAUCAAAAUGCCGCGGUGAAUACUUUCCCGGGCCUUGUACACACCGCCCGUCACACCAUGGGAAUUUGUUGCACCAGAAGUAUGUAGUCUAACCGCAGGGAGGACGCUCACCACGGUGUGGCCGAUGACUGGUGUGAUCUCAUAACAGGAAACCCAAAAAUGUGGAGAACAAUCCC